ACACGGUGACAGCCAUCGUGCCCCCCUGUGAACUGGACUCUUGCGCCUUGGCAGGCCCCUCUUCUUGCAUUCUGGAUGAUGUCAGAACAGGACCUGGUGGAUGUGGUUCAGAUCGCAGUGGAAGACCUGAGUCCUGACCACCCAGUUGUCUUGGAGAGUCAUGUGGUAACGGAUGAAGAUGAGCCUGGUGAGCCUGCAUUGAAAUGCCAGAGACUAGAAAUCAAUUGCCAGGAUCCUUCUAUAAAGUCUUUUCUGUAUUCCAUUAAGCAGACCAUAUGCUUACGGUUGGAUAGCAUUGAGGCCAAGCUGCAAGCUCUGGAGGCCACAUGCAAAUCCCUGGAAGAGAAGCUGGACUUGGUCACCAACAAGCAACAUAGCCCCAUCCAGGUCCCCAUGGUGGCGGGCUCCCCACUCGGUGCCACCCAGACCUGCAACAAAGUACGAUGCGUCGUCCCCCAGACUACAGUAAUACUCAACAAUGAUCGGCAGAACGCCAUUGUAGCCAAGAUGGAAGACCCCUUGAGCAGCAGGGCACCGGAUUCCCUGGAAAAUAUCAUUAGCAAUGCUGUUCCUGGGCGGCGGCAGAACACCAUUGUGGUGAAGGUGCCAGGUCAAGACGACAGCCACAAUGAAGAUGGGGAGAGUGGGUCAGAGGCCAGUGACUCUGUGUCGAACUGUGGCCAGCCUGGGAGCCAGAACAUCGGGAGCAACGUCACACUAAUCACCUUGAACUCAGAAGAGGAUUACCCCAAUGGCACCUGGCUUGGUGAUGAGAACAACCCCGAGAUGAAGGUGCGCUGUGCCAUCAUCCCCUCUGACAUGCCGCACAUCAGCACCAACUGCCGUACUGCCGAGAAGAUGGCGCUCACGCUGUUGGACUACCUCUUCCACUGUGAGGUGCAGGCUGUGUCCAACCUGUCUGGUAAGGGCAAACAUGGAAAGAAGCAGCUCGACCCCCUCAACCAUCUAUGGCAUCUGGUGUCACCUUUUCUAUAAAUUUGGAAUCACAGAAUCUGACUGGUAUCGAAUCAAACAGAGCAUCGAUUCCAAAUGCCGGACAGCGUGGCGGCGAAAACAGCGAGGGCAGAGUCUGGCAGUCAAGAGCUUCUCCCGGAGGACACCGUCCUCGUCCUUUUAUAGCACUUCAGAGACCAUGAUGAGCACCCCACCACCUGCCCCUGAGCUGCAGCAGCCACAGCCUCAAGCUCUGCACUAUACUCUGGCCAACGCCCAGCAGGUGCAGAUCCACCAGAUUGGAGAGGACAGCCAGGUGCAAGUAGGCCAUCUCCACAUAGCCCAGGUGCCGCAGGGGGAGCAAGUGCAGAUCACGCAGGACAGCGAGGGCAAUUUGCAGAUCCAUCAUGUGGGCCAGGAUGGACAGGUGCUGCAGGGAGCCCAGCUGAUUGCUGUAGCCUCCUCAGACCCUGCUGCAGCUGGUGUGGAUGGAUCACCUCUCCAGGGCAGUGAUAUCCAGGUUCAGUAUGUCCAGCUGGCACCUGUGAGUGAGCACGCAGCCACAGCACAGACAGCCGAGACCCUGCAGCCCACCCUGCAACCCGAGAUGCAGCUGGAGCAUGGGGCCAUCCAGAUCCAGUGAGGCAGGGCAGCCACCGCCACCAGGACUGCCACGCCAGCGGCCCAGCUGACAACCUGGUUUCCAUGUGCCCUGCUCUCGAAGUUGGCUAGGGGUGACUGCGAAUUCUACUGUCACGGGUCUGAAAGCCACCUCUGCCACAGGGGACUGCGUCCCAGCCAAACCCUGCAAGGAGGGCCCCCAGUUCGAAUCACACUGACAGUGUCUGCAGGGGAAGCAGCACAGAACAUAUAAAAUACACUUGGAGAAUCAAGAACUACAAUAUUUUGUUUAAACAGCUUUUUUUAAUUUGCUAUGGUGUUUAUAACAAAAAAGAAAAUAGAAAAAAAACUGGAGUAGCAGAAGCCU
Molecule: RNA transcript, 1942 nt
Organism: Octodon degus (degu)
Lineage: Eukaryota; Metazoa; Chordata; Mammalia; Rodentia; Octodontidae
Gene name: protein BANP pseudogene
Exons: 1
Source: RefSeq, a predicted model, not a curated record